This 230-nucleotide ribosomal RNA is filed under the name uncultured bacterium. RNAcentral describes it as "partial 16S ribosomal RNA". It matches the Rfam family "Bacterial small subunit ribosomal RNA", at positions 103 to 334 of the family's 1533-position model. The record is from RNAcentral.
CGGGUGAGUAACGCGUAUGCAACCUGCCGUCUACUCUUGGACAGCCUUCUGAAAGGAAGAUUAAUACAAGAUGGCAUCAUGAGUCCGCAUGUUCACAUGAUUAAAGGAUUCCGGUAAAGGAUGGGGAUGCGUUCCAUUAGGUUGUUGGUGAGGUAACGGCUCACCAAGCCUUCGAUGGAUAGGGGUUCUGAGAGGAAGGUCCCCCACAUUGGAACUGAGACACGGUCCAA